GAUGAAGAACGUAGCGAAAUGCGAUAAGUAGUGUGAAUUGCAGGCUUUAGUGAAUCAUCGAAUCUUUGAACGCACAUUGCGCCCGCCAGUAUUCUGGCGGGCAUGCCUGUCCGAGCGUCAUUUCAACCCUCGAACCCCUCCGGGGGGUCGGCGUUGGGGAUCGGCCCUUUCACCGGGUGCCGGCCCCUAAAUACAGUGGCGGUCUCGCCGCAGCCUCUCAUGCGCAGUAGUUUGCACACUCGCACCGGGAGCGCGGCGCGUCCUCGUCCGUAAAACACCCCAAACUUCUGAAAUGUUGACCUCGGAUCAGGUAGGAAUACCCGCUGAACUUAAGCAUAUCAAUAAGCGGAGGA
This 353-nucleotide unclassified non-coding RNA is filed under the name soil metagenome. RNAcentral describes it as "partial contains 5.8S ribosomal RNA, internal transcribed spacer 2, and large subunit ribosomal RNA". The stretch from base 1 to 120 matches the Rfam family "5.8S ribosomal RNA", at positions 35 to 154 of the family's 154-position model. The record is from RNAcentral.